GGGCUUGGCUACGAGCUAUACAUGCAGUCGAGCGAAUGGAUUAAGAGCUUGCUCUUAUGAAGUUAGCGGCGGACGGGUGAGUAACACGUGGGUAACCUGCCCAUAAGACUGGGAUAACUCCGGGAAACCGGGGCUAAUACCGGAUAACAUUUUGAACCGCAUGGUUCGAAAUUGAAAGGCGGCUUCGGCUGUCACUUAUGGAUGGACCCGCGUCGCAUUAGCUAGUUGGUGAGGUAACGGCUCACCAAGGCAACGAUGCGUAGCCGACCUGAGAGGGUGAUCGGCCACACUGGGACUGAGACACGCCCCAGACUCCUACGGGAGGCAGCAGUAGGGAAUCUUCCGCAAUGGACAAAAGUCUGACG
This 365-nucleotide ribosomal RNA is filed under the name Bacillus sp. (in: firmicutes). RNAcentral describes it as "bacterial SSU rRNA". It matches the Rfam family "Bacterial small subunit ribosomal RNA", at positions 37 to 388 of the family's 1533-position model. Lineage: Bacteria; Bacillati; Bacillota; Bacilli; Caryophanales; Bacillaceae. The record is from RNAcentral.